This 253-nucleotide ribosomal RNA is filed under the name uncultured bacterium. RNAcentral describes it as "partial 16S ribosomal RNA". It matches the Rfam family "Bacterial small subunit ribosomal RNA", at positions 524 to 776 of the family's 1533-position model. The record is from RNAcentral.
UACGUAGGGGGUUAGCGUUGUCCGGAUUUACUGGGUGUAAAGGGCGCGUAGGCGGGUCUGUAAGUCAGAGGUGAAAUCCUACAGCUUAACUGUAGAACUGCCUUUGAUACUGCGGAUCUUGAGUUCAGAAGAGAGAGAUGGAAUUCCAGGUGUAGUGGUGAAAUACGUAGAUAUCUGGAAGAACAUCAGUGGCGAAGGCGAUCUCUUGGUCUGUAACUGACGCUGAGGCGCGAAAGCGUGGGUAGCAAACAGG